This 481-nucleotide long non-coding RNA is filed under the name Coturnix japonica (Japanese quail). RNAcentral describes it as "lncRNA (ENSCJPG00005002799.1)". Lineage: Eukaryota; Metazoa; Chordata; Aves; Galliformes; Phasianidae. The record is from RNAcentral.
AUGGGGCUGCCCCAUAAGUUACUGGCCCCCCAUUAUCUAUGGGGCUGCCCCAUAAGUUAUAACCCCCCCCACAUAUCUAUGGGGCUGCCCCACAAGUACCUGACCCCUUUAUCUAUGGGGCAGCCCCACAAGCUCCCGCCCCACAGCGUCACUUACCUGCCUCCUCCCAGUAUCUAUGGGGCAGCCCCCCAAGUUCCCUCUGCCCCACACAUCUAUGGGGCAGCCCCCCCCAAGUUCCCUCUGCCCCACAUAUCUGUGGGGCAGCCCCACACACUGACCCUCCUGGCCCAUAUCUAUGGGGCAGCCCUCCAAUUUCCCACCCCCCCCCAUAAAAUCUAUGGGGCAGCCCCCAAGUUCCCUCUGCCCCACAUAUCUAUGGGGCAGCCCCACACACUGACCCUCCUGCCCCACACAUCUAUGGGGCAGCCCCACACAUCUAUGGGGCAGCCCCACACAUCUAUGGGGCAGCCCCACACACUGA